This 497-nucleotide ribosomal RNA is filed under the name uncultured bacterium. RNAcentral's name for it is "partial 16S ribosomal RNA". It matches the Rfam family "Bacterial small subunit ribosomal RNA", at positions 28 to 507 of the family's 1533-position model. The record is from RNAcentral.
GAUGAACGCUGGCGGCGUGCCUAAUACAUGCAAGUCGAGCGAACAGACGAGGAGCUUGCUCCUCUGACGUUAGCGGCGGACGGGUGAGUAACACGUGGAUAACCUACCUAUAAGACUGGGAUAACUUCGGGAAACCGGAGCUAAUACCGGAUAAUAUAUUGAACCGCAUGGUUCAAUAGUGAAAGACGGUUUUGCUGUCACUUAUAGAUGGAUCCGCGCCGCAUUAGCUAGUUGGUAAGGUAACGGCUUACCAAGGCAACGAUGCGUAGCCGACCUGAGAGGGUGUACCGCCAAACCGGAAAUGGAGCACGGGCCCGACUCCUACGGGGAGCAGCAGUAGGGAAUCUUCCGCAAUGGGCGGAAGCCUGACGGAGCAACGCCGCGUGAGUGAUGAAGGUCUUCGGAUCGUAAAACUCUGUUAUUAGGGAAGAACAAAUGUGUAAGUAACUAUGCACGUCUUGACGGUACCUAAUCAGAAAGCCACGGCUAACUACGUG